CCAAUAGCGUAUAUUAAAGUUGCUGCAGUUAAAAAGCUCGUAGUUGAAUUUCGGGACCAAUAUGUCGGUCGUGCCUCGGUACGUACUGGCAUCGUUGGUUUCUCCCUUCUGACGAACCCUGAUGUCAUUUAUUUGGUGUCGUGGGGAAUCAGGACUGUUACUUUGAAAAAAUUAGAGUGUUUAAAGCAGGCUCACGCUUGAAUACAUUAGCAUGGAAUAAUGAAAUAGGACGUUUGAUUCUAUUUUGUUGGUUUCUAGGAUCGACGUAAUGAUUAAUAGGGAUAGUUGGGGGCAUUAGUAUUCAAUUGUCAGAGGUGAAAUUCUUGGAUUUAUUGAAGACUAACUACUGCGAAAGCAUUUGCCAAGGAUGUUUUCAUUAAUCAAGAACGAAAGUUAGGGGAUCGAAGACGAUCAGAUACCGUCGUAGUCUUAACCAUAAACUAUGCCGACUAGGGAUCGGAUGAUGUUAAUUUUUUAAUGACUCAUUCGGCGCCUUACG
Molecule: ribosomal RNA, 499 nt
Filed under: uncultured Glomeromycotina
Lineage: Eukaryota; Fungi; Glomeromycota
Description: partial small subunit ribosomal RNA
Rfam family: Eukaryotic small subunit ribosomal RNA
Source: RNAcentral